Molecule: unclassified non-coding RNA, 151 nt
Filed under: uncultured Sordariomycetes
Lineage: Eukaryota; Fungi; Ascomycota; Sordariomycetes
Description: sequence contains ITS1
Source: RNAcentral
CAGAGUUGUAAAACUCCCAAACCAUUGUGAACAUACCUAUGUUGCCUCGGCGGCCUGCCUGGCAAGCUGCUUCUGUGGCUGCCGCGCGGUCCGCCGGUGGAAUAUAAACUCUUGUUUUUUUGUAUCUCUGAGAAAACUUUUAAAUAAGUCA